This 1677-nucleotide long non-coding RNA is filed under the name Solanum tuberosum (potato). RNAcentral's name for it is "long non-coding RNA (STUB_LNC003978)". The record is from RNAcentral. Lineage: Eukaryota; Viridiplantae; Streptophyta; Magnoliopsida; Solanales; Solanaceae.
UUAAUUUAGUACUAAGUCUCUUUAUAUAUGGCAUUUCACAUAAUAAUUUUUACUAUUUCUUUUGAAGUUGAGAGGUAGAUAAAGACUCAACUCUUUGCAGAUAAGUCUAUAGUCCACUCUCUCUGUGUAACAUCAUCUGCCUCAACUGGCUCAUGAUUUCAAGAAAAUAAAUAAAUAUAAUAUAUCUUGUGAUCUGCUACUUGCAUUCAGUGCCUCAAUAAUAUCUUCUUCUUUUUUUUCUUUCUAUUUAUAGUAAGACCAUAAAAAGUGAAGGUUAGUGGGGUUGAAGAAUGGAGAUAGUAGAUUGGAAAUGGGAGCAAAAUGAGAUGGAAGUUGAAGAAGGAGAAGGGGGUCUUCAAGUAAGAAGCUCUAAGGUUACUAAAGAAGUGACAAAUGGGAAAAUUGAGACAAAUGGGCAUGGAAAUUCUACCCUAAAGAUGACUAAUGGAACAGAAAAAUCUGUUCUUGGUGAUGAACAAGAAAGGUCAGAGGAGGAGAAGCUUUCAGAUUCCAUUAAUGGGGUUGAAGAUGAAGAGGGAACUGAGCCAAAAGAUAAGUUAUUUGAACAUAUUGUAGUUUCAAUUAAUGGGGUUGAGGAAAAAUCUGAUCUUGAUGAUGAACAAGAAAGGUCAGAGGAGCAUAUUUCAGAUUUCAAUAAUGGGGUUGAAGAGGGAACAGAAAAAUCUGAUCUUGAUGAUGAACUGGAGAGGUCAGAGGAGCAGCAUAUUUCAGAUUCCUAUAAUGGGGUUGAAGUUGAAGAGGAAACAAAACCCAAAGAAGAGUCUGUUCAGCAUAUUUUACUUUCAAAUAAUGGGGUUGAAGUUGAAGUUCACGGGGAAACAAAACCAAAAGAGGAGUCAGUUCAGCUGAUUGUAGCUUCAAAUAAUGGGGUUGAAGAGGGAACUGAACCAAAAGAAGAGCCAGUUCAGAAGAUUGUGGCUUCAAAUAAUGGGGUUGAAGAGAGAACUGAACCAAAAGAAGAGUCAGUUCAGAGGAUUGUGUCUUCAAAUUGUGGGGUUGAAGAAGGAACUGAACCAAAAGAAGAGUCAAAACAGCAUCUUGUGACUUCUACUAAUGGGGUUGAAGUUGAAGAGGGAACAGAAGCUGAAGAAGAUUCUGUUCAGCAGAUUGUAGUAGUUUCAAAUAAUGGGGUUGAAGAGGGAACUGAACCAAAAGAAGAGUCAAAACAGCAUCUUGUGACUUUUACUAAUGGGGUUGAAGUUGAAGAGGGAGCUGAAGAGUCAAUUCAGCAUAUUGUAGUUUCAAAUAAUGAGGUUGAAGAGGGAACUGAACCUAAAAAAGAGUCAAAGCAGCAUCUUGUGAUUUCUACUAAUGGGGUUGAAGAGGGAACAGAAGCUGAAGAAGGGCCCUUCAGCUCAGGCCAUUCUGUCUAUUAUGACAAAGAUGAAGGUAUAUAUUAUAUUACAUCAACUGUUUUUGACCAUUUUUUUGUACUUAAAUUCCUUAUGAAAUUCUCUCUUGAUUCUUCUUUCUUAAGAUCUGUGUAUUUACAUGUCUUCUUCAUUGGGUUUGUAGGGUAAAGUAUACAGUAUUCAGGGUAGUGAUAGAAAAACUCUUUUGAACCCCACGUCUUACCCUACUUGUCUGAAACUAUUUCUUCUUUAUUUGAUUGAUUCAGUUCAAAAAAAAUAAAAAUUUCUUCUGUACUGCAAAGGG